AAAAGGUCGGAACUUGAAAUGGGAAGUUUUUAUAAAACUUCACCCACGAAAGUUUACCCUAAGCGUCACUUCGCAGCAGGCCGCCAUCAACCAGAGCCCACUCGCUGAGCCAUCCCUCUCCUCUGUUAUUCGCUGCACUCAGCCUUCUCUUCUUCCAUCCUCGUCAACCUCCCAGUAUCACUCUUCACAGAGCCUCCUCGCCUGCUUCACCAAGUACCUCUCUCAUCUCUUUCUCUCUCUUUUCAUUUCUAGAAAAUGGCUUUCUUUCUCAUCUCUCUCUGCAGAACUACUUUAUUCUCUCUCUGUAUCUCUCUCCAUCUAGCUGUGUAUCCCUAGAUCUCUUUCUCUCUCUAUCACCAACCUCCCAUCCGUCAUUGACAUCAGAGCUCCAGGUUCUGCAAAACCGACAUUCUCCAGUCAAGAUGCAGUGACAACAAACGAAUUGAUAAAAGAGCUUAUUGAUUGGAAAAUUAUUCAGGAUGAAAAUGGAAUUUCUUCUUUAACUUCCCAGGAGGUUAUCAAACACAGAAACCAGGAACUUCUUAAGUUCCCAAGAGGUUAUCAAACACAGAAACCAGCAACUUCUUAACUUCUCAGGGAUGUUAUCAAACACGGAAACUAGGAACUUCUUCAGGAACUACUAAUGUAUAGUUCUUCAGAAACUUCCAAUUUACAGUUCAUGAACUUGCUUCCAGUUAUCAAACAGGCCCUUACCUAAUGUCUUUGACAACCCUGUCAAGAAACGUUGCGAAGAAAGCCUCUCCCUGAGAAGAAACCUACAAAGCUUUGCGAAGAGCCUCUUCCUCUCUGUGAAGAAACCUACAUCGCUCUGCGAAGAAGAAUCACUCUUUACUGUUGCAAAACUGAUAUCGCUCUACGAAGAAGAGCCACUCUCUCUGCCAAGAAACGAUUGCUCUGCAAACCAUAUAUAUGCACCAUCAGGCUGCUCAUCUGAACCAGGGUGUAGGGUCUGUUCAAGCAGUAGGCAUUGAAGGAAAUACUUUCCAGUGGGAGGAAAGCUGGUAUGUUUGGUGUCAAGGAUUCAGUUCGCGACAUGGUCACCUCUUGGAACACUACCAAGAAAGAGUUUUGGGGCUUUAGGGGAUUGGAUAUCAUUGCAAGCAGGGCUCCUCUUUCCUUGUCCUUCAAGCUCCACAAUUAUGUAUCAGAGUUGUGCCUCUGUCACUUUAUUACCAUUACUUGUGUCUUUUGACAUGCAAAUGCAGUUCCACACAUGACUGGAUUGGUAUUUGAUAACCAUAGAGAUUAAAUUGCUUAUGACAUAUAUUGGGGGUUUAGAUACUCUAGUGUAGUGAUUUUUAUGGAGUUAUUUCUCGAUGGCUGGUUCUUUGCCAUUACUUUGGUGAAUUUCACUUAAAUGACCAUUUUUUGUACGCUUUUAAGGAUCAAAAGUGACUAGUCCAAUAACUGAAAAUCAAUUUCUAUGGAAAAUCUUAUUAGUUAGUUAUUGGUGUUCUUGCUUAUGAAUCAAUAAUGUUCUGGAAAUUGUUGAUAUUGGGUAUUUUGUCGUUACUAUUUACAUGGAUGGGGGUGGUAUUUGAUAAGCACUGGAUGAAAACAUCUCAGGGUAUAUUUUUAAAUCUUUGGGGGUGCGUUUGUUUGCUGGAAGUUUGCUGGAAGUUUGCUGGAAGAUAAAUGUUCCCUAGAAAAAUAAGUUCUUAUUUGCUGGGAAGGGGACUUAUUUGUUCUGGAAGGUUAAAAUGAGUUCUGGGUACUGUGUUUGAUAGCCUGCUGGAAUUUAAGGAAGUUCUGGUUACCUAUGUUUGAUUACAUGCUGAAAUGUGGAAGUUCUGGUUACAUGUGUUUGAUUCACCCUAGAACUUUUGAACUGGAGACAUGACAACCCUGUUUAAAAUUUAAAUACAAUAUCACCUAGAUCGAUUCACAUCAUUCCAAUAAAUGUAAAUUCUCAAUAGAAGCCUUUAUAGCUAAAAUCUCAAACCAAAACAUGGUCCACAUGACAACAAUGAAACCAAUUUCACAUAAGAAGAACCAGAACCAUGUUCAACAAUCAACAGAUGCAUAUUCAUUUGAUCCUAAUCAGCAGAUGCAUAUUCAACAACAGGUAAUAUAUCACAAAUUUCAGACAUGACUACAAUCAAGCCAAUUUUACAUGAGAAGAACCAGAACCAUGUUCAACAAUCAACAAAUUCAUAUUCUUUUGAUCCUAAUCAGUAGAUGCAUAAGCACCAGAACCAUGUUCAACAAUCCCUCUCUCUCUCUCUCUCUGAAACGACAAACCAAGAAAAUGGAAAUACUUUCCUAAUUGUAAUAAAACAAGGGAAUAAAAAGGGCAAUGAUAAAUUGCAUCUUCAGUGAUACCUAUGAAAACAUGUCUUUCUCUCAUUUUUGAGACUCUAUCAAGCAAAGUCUAAAUAGUCCUCUAUCAACAUAAAAUGCAGCAACAAUCAAACUCAACUCCCAAGCACAUGAACAACUACAAACUUGACAAAAAAUGAUCAAAUAGUCAUCCCAACAAGAGCUCUAUUAAUAACCAUGUUAGACUGUGAGAAAGUACAAAUAAAGUUAGAAGAGUCAAUCCAUCAGCCACUACAUGAUCACCAUUGUGAUACAUAAAUGCUUCAUACUGAAUGAAAUGCCCCAUGAAACAAGUUCGCAACUAGUUGCAUAUAACUCAUUUCCCACUGGAUAACUCAACCUAUGGCACUUCCAAGUUGUUGCAGAAAACAAACGACAAGAACUUCUCAGAUAGUUUCGUGCUUGAAACUAUAUGAAAGUUAGUGAAAUAGGUAAAGUUCAGGUGUUUAGCUUGAAAACUGAUAACACAUGGUCCCAAGACUCAUGGUAGGGGGCAUUUGUUUGAUCUGAAAUUAAUAGUUGAUCUUUACUCAUCCCUAUGAUCAAUGAAAUAGAAUUUGAUUUGUAGCUCACAAAAAGCUAUAAAUCAAUUGACUCUAGACCUUGCAUUUGAGGGAUGGCUCAAAAUCAAUUUGAGUGAGAAAUUUGUAAUGAUUUAUUAUACUGCCUCUGCCACGCUUUAUUGCUAGUUUCAGUUGAAUUACUUGAUUCUUAUUGAUGCAUUAUUAACAGAAUGUUGGUGCAUUCGAUUACUGUUUCUUCAGUCAUUAGAUUAGCCAUGACGUACACUUCUGAGCUCUAGACUAUGAGAUAUUGACAUGGCCAUUAUUAUUAUAUGGGGAGAACUUGUUGGUUUAGAAAGUUAGAUCACGAAGGGUUUAUAGUUUUGAAUGGGGUUUCUUGCAUGGUUAUAUACCUGUUCGUGCACUGAUAUGGAGUGCUGUGUAGCUGUUCUAAAGAUCAUAUUCUUUUGUCUUUCAUUGUUCUUCUAUUAUGAAAAAUUUAUCAGAAAAUUUCUGAUGUUAUGGUAUGUGGUUCUUGUUUUAGUAUUAUCAAUACAUAGAGGUGGACAGAGGUCCAACUUUUUUUUUUUGUAUGAACUUUUUCCUUUUCAAAAUGGAUUUUAUACAAAAUACGUAACGAAACACACCUUAAAUCCUAACGUAUCCCCCCGAACGCACUCCCUCCACGUGAUGCGAUUGAGCCAGACCUCACAUAAGCCAGCCGGACAUGACCUCCCCCUUUCUGCACUUCGAUUCCCUCCACUUUCGACAACUAUGAAUGACCUCCCCCUUUCUGCGCUUCGAUUCCCUCCACUUUCGAUUCUCUCUCUCUCUGUCUCUCUUUCUCU
Non-coding RNA from Amborella trichopoda, 3691 nucleotides. The record is from RefSeq and is a predicted model, not a curated record. NCBI's taxonomy places the organism in Eukaryota, Viridiplantae, Streptophyta, Magnoliopsida, Amborellales, Amborellaceae.